AAAAAGGCAAACCUUUGGUUUCCGUGUCCAACUUUGACUGUCCGUCUUAUAUGAACUUUUUUUAUAAUUCGUAUUUUCAUUGUUGUUAGAUGAUAAAACAUGAUUAAUAUUUUAUGUGUGACUUGUCUUUUUAAUUUUUUUCAUAAUUUUUUCAAAUAAAACGGACGGUCAAACGUUGGACACGGAAACCAGGGUUUGUCUUUUU
This is a non-coding RNA of Oryza barthii, 205 nucleotides long. The record is from Rfam. Lineage: Eukaryota; Viridiplantae; Streptophyta; Magnoliopsida; Poales; Poaceae.